RNAcentral lists this ribosomal RNA (431 nucleotides) under uncultured bacterium. Its description in RNAcentral is "partial 16S ribosomal RNA". It matches the Rfam family "Bacterial small subunit ribosomal RNA", at positions 29 to 507 of the family's 1533-position model. The record is from RNAcentral.
AGCGAACGCUGGCGGCAGGCUUAACACAUGCAAGUCGAGCGCCCCGCAAGGGGCGCGGCAGACGGGUGAGUAACACGUGGGAACGUACCCUUUGGUUCGGAACAACCCAGGGAAACUUGGGCUAAUACCGGAUAAGUCCGCGAGGAGAAAGAUUUAUCGCCGAAGGAUCGGCCCGCGUCUGAUUAGCUAGUUGGUGUGGUAACGGCGCACCAAGGCGACGAUCAGUAGCUGGUCUGAGAGGAUGAUCAGCCACACUGGGACUGAGACACGGCCCAGACUCCUACGGGAGGCAGCAGUGGGGAAUAUUGGACAAUGGGGGCAACCCUGAUCCAGCCAUGCCGCGUGAGUGAUGAAGGCCCUAGGGUUGUAAAGCUCUUUCGGUGGGGAAGAUAAUGACGGUACCCACAGAAGAAGCCCCGGCUAACUUCGUG